GUCCAGACUCCUACGGGAGGCAGCAGUGGGGAAUAUUGCACAAUGGGGGAAACCCUGAUGCAGCGACGCCGCGUGAGCGAUGAAGUAUUUCGGUAUGUAAAGCUCGAUCAGCAGGGAAGAAAAUGACGGUACCUGACUAAGAAGCCCCGGCUAACUACGUGCCAGCAGCCGCGGUAAUACGUAGGGGGCAAGCGUUAUCCGGAUUUACUGGGUGUAAAGGGAGCGUAGACGGCUGUGCAAGCCAGAUGUGAAAGCCCGGGGCUCAACCCCGGGACUGCAUUUGGAACUGUGUGGCUGGAGUGUCGGAGAGGCAGGCGGAAUUCCUAGUGUAGUGGUGAAAUGCGUAGAUAUUAGGAGGAACACCAGUGGCGAAGGCGGCCUGCUGGACGAUGACUGACGUUGAGGCUCGAAAGCGUGGGGAGCAAACAGGAUUAGAUACCCGCGUAU
Molecule: ribosomal RNA, 447 nt
Filed under: uncultured bacterium
Lineage: Bacteria
Description: bacterial SSU rRNA
Rfam family: Bacterial small subunit ribosomal RNA
Source: RNAcentral